Molecule: ribosomal RNA, 496 nt
Filed under: uncultured bacterium
Lineage: Bacteria
Description: partial 16S ribosomal RNA
Rfam family: Bacterial small subunit ribosomal RNA
Source: RNAcentral
GAUGAACGCUGGCGGCGUGCCUAAUACAUGCAAGUCGAGCGAACGGACGAGAAGCUUGCUUCUCUGAUGUUAGCGGCGGACGGGAGAGUAACACGUGGAUCACCUACCUAUAAGACUGGGAUAACUUCGGGAAACCGGAUCUAAUCCCGGAUAAUCUUUUGAACCGCAUUGUUCAAAAGUGAAAGACGGUCUUGCUGUCACGUCUAGAUGGAUCCGAGCUGCAUUAGCUAGUUGGUAAGGUAAAGGCUUACCAAGGCAACGAUGCAUAGCCGACCUGAGCGGGUGAUCGGCGACUCUGGAACUGAGACGCGGUCCAGACUCCUACGGGAGGCAGAGGUAGGGAAUCGUCCGCAAAGGGCGAAAGCCUGACGAAGCGACGCCGCGUGAGUGAUGAAGGUCUGCGGAUCGUAGAACUCUGUUAGUAGUGAAGAACAUAUGUGUAAGUAACUGAGCACAUCUGGACGGUACCGAAUCAGAAAGCCCCGGCUAACUACGU